AAAAAAAAAAAGAAAAACCAAAAAAAAAAAGAGGGAUGUAACACGAGGACUUUUUUGGGAGGUCACCCAUCCUAGUACUACUCUCGCCCAAGCACGCUUAACUGCGGAGUUCUGAUGGGAUCCAGUUCAUUAGUGCUGGUAUGAUCGCAUGUGUUACUAUAUGCAAUGUAAUCGUAUCUAUUCUUUUUUAAUGACUUUAUGAUCCAUUUGCUGUGAGUCCCACCAGCUAUGUAGGAAUACCCUAUCUUCUCUAUAAGAGCUUUGAUACAUGCAAAAUAUUGGAAAACAAUGUCCGAACAUAUAGUUUUCCCCCCGUAAUAUAGCAAAGAUCACGAAAAGGCCCGAAAAGGUACAUUUAGUUCAAAAUUUGGAGUAGAAGAAAAAACAAUAGAAGAAUUCCAUUUCCCUUCCUCAGUCAUCGGAGAGCUCUCUUUGGGCUUUCCAAAAAGGUAUCACAUGCCAAGUUUGGCCUCACGGUCUAAAAGUUAUAGAGUCAUACAUUUUUAACAAUACAAAAUAGAGAAAAACCGAAAAAAAAGAGGGAUGCAACACGAGGACUUUCCGGGAGGUAAUCCAUCCUAGUACUACUCUCGCCCAAGCACCCUUAACUGCGGAGUUCUGAUGGGAUCCGAUGCAUUAGUGCUGGUAUGAUCGCAUGUGUUACUACAUGCAAUGUAAUCGUAUCUAUUCUUUUUUAAAGACUUUAUGAUCCAUUUGCCGUGGGUCCCACCAGCUAUGUAGGAUUAGCCUAUCUUGUUUAUAAGAGCUUUGAUACAUGCAAAAUAUUGGAAACCAAUGUCCAAACAUAUAAUUUUCACCCCGUAAUAUAGCAAAGAUCACGAAAAGUCCCGAAAAAGUACAUUUAGGUCAAAAUUUGGAAUAGAAAAAAAAAAAAUA
RNAcentral lists this small RNA (897 nucleotides) under Arabidopsis thaliana (thale cress). Its description in RNAcentral is "ATSL163570". Lineage: Eukaryota; Viridiplantae; Streptophyta; Magnoliopsida; Brassicales; Brassicaceae. The record is from RNAcentral.